UUUAGGGGGAAGUAGGAUAAUCCUGUGCUGCCAAGAAAAGCAUCGACGUGAGGUUUUAGCCGCCCGUACCCGAAACCGGCACAGGUAGUCAGGUAGAGAAUACUAAGGCGAUCGAGAGAAUCGUGGUUAAGGAACUCGGCAAAAUGCCCCCGUAACUUUGGGAGAAGGGGGACCUAAACCCUGAAGGGCUUCACGUUCUAGGGGUGAGGGUCGCAGAGUCCAGGGAGAAGCGACUGUUUAUCAAAAACACAGGUCCGUGCGAAGCCGCAAGGCGAUGUAUACGGACUGACGCCUCCCCGGUGCUGGAAGGUUAAGCGGACCGGUCAGCCCACCUUGUGUGGGUGAAGCUGGGAAGUUAAGCCCCAGUAAACGGCGGUGGUAACUAUAACCAUCCUAAGGUAGCGAAAUUCCUUGUCGGGUAAGUUCCGACCUGCACGAAUGGCGUAACGACUUCUCUACUGUCUCGACCACGAACUCGGCGAAAUUGCAUUACGAGUAAAGAUGCUCGUUACGCGCAGAAGGACGGAAAGACCCCGGGACCUUUACUAUAGCUUGGUAUUGGUGUUCGGUACGGCUUGUGUAGGAUAGGUGGGAGACUGUGAAACUCAGACGCUAGUUUGGGUGGAGUCAUUGUUGAAAUACCACUCUGGCCGUGCUGCACAUCUAACCUCGGCCCGUGAUCCGGGCCAGGAACAGUGCCUGGUGGGUAGUUUAACUGGGGCGGUUGCCUCCUAAAAGGUAACGGAGGCGCUCAAAGGUUUCCUCAGCCUGGUCGGUAACCAGGUGUCGAGUGUAAGUGCACAAGGAAGCUUGACUGUGAGACUGACAGGUCGAACAGGUACGAAAGUAGGAACUAGUGAUCCGGCACUGGCUUGUGGAAGCGGUGUCGCUCAACGGAUAAAAGGUACCCCGGGGAUAACAGGCUGAUCCUGCCCAAGAGUUCAUAUCGACGGCAUGGUUUGGCACCUCGAUGUCGGCUCGUCGCAUCCUGGGGCUGGAGUAGGUCCCAAGGGUUGGGCUGUUCGCCCAUUAAAGCGGUACGCGAGCUGGGUUCAGAACGUCGUGAGACAGUUCGGUCCCUAUCCUCUGCGCGCGUUGGAGAAUUGAGAAGGGCUGUCCCUAGUACGAGAGGACCGGGACGGACGAACCACUGGUGUGCCAGUUAUCCCGCCAGGGGUAUGGCUGGUUGGCUACGUUCGGGAAGGAUAACCGCUGAAAGCAUCUAAGCGGGAAGCCUGCUUCAAGACAAAUUCUCCCUCCAACAUUUGUUGGUGAAGGCCCCCGGAAGACUACCGGGUUGAUAGACCAGACGUGGAAGAGAAGUAAUUCUUGGAGCUGACUGGUACUAAUGGCCAACCAC
RNAcentral lists this ribosomal RNA (1360 nucleotides) under metagenome. Its description in RNAcentral is "bacterial LSU rRNA". It matches the Rfam family "Bacterial large subunit ribosomal RNA", at positions 1578 to 2912 of the family's 2925-position model. The record is from RNAcentral.